UAACAAGGAUUCCCCUAGUAACUGCGAGUGAAGCGGGAAGAGCUCAAAUUUAAAAUCUGGCGGCCUCCUGGUCGUCCGAGUUGUAGUCUGGAGAAGUGUUAUCCGCGUCGGACCGUGUACAAGUCUCCUGGAACGGAGCGUCAUAGAGGGUGAGAAUCCCGUCCAUGACACGGACGCCCGAUGCUAUGUGAGGCACUCUCGAAGAGUCGAGUUGUUUGGGAAUGCAGCUCAAAAUGGGUGGUAAAUUCCAUCUAAAGCUAAAUAUUGGCGAGAGACCGAUAGCGAACAAGUACCGUGAGGGAAAGAUGAAAAGCACUUUGGAAAGAGAGUUAAACAGUACGUGAAAUUGUUGAAAGGGAAACGCUUGAAGUCAGUCGCGUCCCGUGGAACUCAGCCUGGUUUCGACCUGGUGUACUUUCCAUGUGGACGGGUCAACAUCAAUUUCGACCGGUGGACAAGGGCGAGGGGAAUGUAGCGUGGCUUCGGCGACGUGUUAUAGCCCCCCGUCGUAUACACUGGCUGGGAUUGAAGACCGCAGCACGCCCUUGUGGUCGGGGGUUCCCCCCACGUAAACGUGCUUAGGAUGUUGGCAUAAUGGCUUUAAGCGACCCGUCUUGAAACACGGACCAAGGAGUCUAACAUGCUUGCGAGUGUUCGGGUGGAAAACCCUUGCGCGUAAUGAAAGUGAAAGUUGGGAACCUCCGCGAGGGGGUGCACCGACGCCCGGCCCUGACGUUCUCUGACGGUGCCGCGGUAGAGCACGUAUGUUGGGACCCGAAAGAUGGUGAACUAUGCCUGAAUAGGGCGAAGCCAGAGGAAACUCUGGUGGAGGCUCGUAGCGAUUCUGACGUGCAAAUCGAUCGUCAAAUUUGGG
RNAcentral lists this ribosomal RNA (874 nucleotides) under Sanghuangporus baumii. RNAcentral's name for it is "eukaryotic LSU rRNA". It matches the Rfam family "Eukaryotic large subunit ribosomal RNA", at positions 66 to 915 of the family's 3401-position model. Lineage: Eukaryota; Fungi; Basidiomycota; Agaricomycetes; Hymenochaetales; Hymenochaetaceae. The record is from RNAcentral.